Molecule: ribosomal RNA, 485 nt
Filed under: Streptococcus mutans
Lineage: Bacteria; Bacillati; Bacillota; Bacilli; Lactobacillales; Streptococcaceae
Description: bacterial SSU rRNA
Rfam family: Bacterial small subunit ribosomal RNA
Source: RNAcentral
GACGAACGCUGGCGGCGUGCCUAAUACAUGCAAGUGGGACGCAAGAGAACACACUGUGCUUGCACACCGUGUUUUCUUGAGUCGCGAACGGGUGAGUAACGCGUAGGUAACCUGCCUAUUAGCGGGGGAUAACUAUUGGAAACGAUAGCUAAUACCGCAUAAUAUUAAUUAUUGCAUGAUAAUUGAUUGAAAGAUGCAAGCGCAUCACUAGUAGAUGGACCUGCGUUGUAUUAGCUAGUUGGUAAGGUAAGAGCUUACCAAGGCGACGAUACAUAGCCGACCUGAGAGGGUGAUCGGCCACACUGGGACUGAGACACGGCCCAGACUCCUACGGGAGGCAGCAGUAGGGAAUCUUCGGCAAUGGACGAAAGUCUGACCGAGCAACGCCGCGUGAGUGAAGAAGGUUUUCGGAUCGUAAAGCUCUGUUGUAAGUCAAGAACGUGUGUGAGAGUGGAAAGUCACACAGUGACGGAGCUACCAGAAAG